RNAcentral lists this ribosomal RNA (225 nucleotides) under Maxillaria elatior. RNAcentral describes it as "internal transcribed spacer 1". The record is from RNAcentral. Lineage: Eukaryota; Viridiplantae; Streptophyta; Magnoliopsida; Asparagales; Orchidaceae.
UCGAGACCGAAAUAUACACCGAGCGAUUCGGAGAACACGUGAAAUGAGCCAACGGCCGUCUUGGCCGUCGCCCCCGUCCCCUCCUCGUGGGGUGGGUGGGGGCGCGGCGGAGGACGGAUGAAAAACACAAACCGGCGCAGCAUCNCGCCAAGGGAAAGAUUGAAAGGCACGAGCCCCGCGUCGGGCUCGGNGGCAUAUGGGGUGUUGUUGCACGCCAUGCGGAUG